RNAcentral lists this long non-coding RNA (1098 nucleotides) under Nicotiana benthamiana. RNAcentral's name for it is "long non-coding RNA (NBEN_LNC012934)". The record is from RNAcentral. Lineage: Eukaryota; Viridiplantae; Streptophyta; Magnoliopsida; Solanales; Solanaceae.
GCAAAGAAAAUUCCCAAGAAACUAGUAAAUACCGAGUCGUCAGCUCAACAACAUUAUACAAGUCUGAAAAUAAGUAAUAUCUGAACUGUAACAACAGCACAAUAGGAAAAGACAAGUCAAUAGUGUGACCAAGGAUGCAGCACAUAUUGUAGUAUGAGUACAACCGACCUAAUGUAUUCAAUAAGUAUCCUACUAACCUCGGCGAGGUAAAACAAGCAAGAACGAUGAAUUAAACUAGCUAUUACCUCUAUUGUUUCAUCAUUUGUAACAAAUGCAAACAAACCAUAAAAAAUCAUCUAAUUUCAAUCACAAAUCGACCCUCAAGUCCUUAAAUUUAACUCUCCAAUAACAUAGUCCAAAAAUCCCAAAAAUCUGAUUUAUAUUCAUGAGCAAUAGGUGAAAUAAUCAAUAGGUAUUCAAUAUUCAUGGAUAAAAGUGACUAAAAGUCAUUUACCCCUUCAAUCAAGGUGGAAACCUCUCCAAAUAUUGUCCUAGUCCAAACUCCAAAAUUCCCAAAAUGAAAGAAGACUCGAACCCUUGAUUUUAAAUCACAUGUAGUGAUCCCGCUUCGGCGGACAAAAUUAGCACCCCUGCGCUCCCGCUUUUGAAGAAAAAGCUUUGCUUCUGCGAAACACAUUAAACUCCAGACUUGCCGCUUCUGCAGCAAAAAAUUCUGCUUCUACACUAAACCUCAUGCUUAUGUAUGUGCGCACCUACAAAAACUAUCCGCAUAUGCAAAUCUGCUUCUGUGAAACUCCCCUCGCAGAAGCGACUUUGUUUCUGCAAAUACACUUAUUGCACCUGCGAAGUUCCAUAGCCAGAACCAAAUUCCAAAACUCUUCUGGCAUGCUUUAAGUCCAAAUAUCGAUCUGUUAACUAUCCGAAACUCGCUCGAGGUCUCCGGGACAUCAACAAAACAUAUGAACAAGUCUUAAAACACGAUUCGAACUUAAUCAGGGCUUUAAAUUAUAUCGAACAACAUAGAAAUCACGAGAACACCCCAAUUCUAUCCAAUGGAGUUCUUAUCUUCACUUGCCUUUUUUUGGAGACUUGAGUUGCUCUAGCAUACAUUUGUGUGUUGUCGAUUUCUUUUUUCAG